CCAUGCGCUAAGAAUGUGGAAUCCGUUUGUUGCUUUCCAUAUUUAUUGUAUUUUUACUUUUUCGACUCUGUCACUAUACGAUCUGUUCCUUAGCUUUCCAUAGGCAGUUCAUAUGCCACUUAGAUUGCUAUAGCUGUAUCUUGUUUUUCAUUUCUUUGCUCCGUGAGUGUUCUUAAGCCUAUAUCAUGGAUAUAGAACUCUGAAGGCCUAUGCCUUCUUGUUACCUGUUUAUACUGUGAGGUGCUGUCCUCUUCUGCACUGUACAAAGGAUGCAGUGUUGAUACAUGCUAGAAGUAACCACAAAGUCACAACUGAAAUAUUGGCGAUUUGUGCUUUCAUUAUUGUUAUCACUUUUCUUCUUUAAAUAGUAUAGUACUG
RNAcentral lists this small RNA (378 nucleotides) under Histoplasma capsulatum var. duboisii H88. Its description in RNAcentral is "Histoplasma capsulatum H88 hypothetical RNA". The record is from RNAcentral. Lineage: Eukaryota; Fungi; Ascomycota; Eurotiomycetes; Onygenales; Ajellomycetaceae.